Molecule: non-coding RNA, 333 nt
Organism: Microcebus murinus (gray mouse lemur)
Lineage: Eukaryota; Metazoa; Chordata; Mammalia; Primates; Cheirogaleidae
Source: RefSeq, a predicted model, not a curated record
UCUGCUGUUUCCACUGUCUUGGAGGCUUGAGGAGCUUGUAAAGAUUGGGCUCCAUUUUUGGAGAGAACACAUGGAGGCAGAGGCUUGUAUGGUUUGGCAACAGAAAAUGGACUAAGACAGAGGUUCUGAAUGGUGAAGACAGAGGACAACCAGGCAUGCAAUGAGGUCCUCUUGAAAUUUCUAGCCUAAAUUAUAUCUGCAAUAGCAAGCCCACCUGGUACCACAUGAAGCCAAAACAAUUUGAGUGAGCUACCUCAGAGAAUGGGGACACUAGUGAGACCAGUAAGAAAUCAGAGCAAGGAGCACAGAGAUGAGAAAUUUGUUGACCAGGUG